AUUGACGUAAACGACUUUAAUACCAAACUUCGCAAUGCACGGAAGUUCCUUGAAAAAGGAGAUAAAGUCAAAGCAUCUAUCCGCUUUAAAGGACGCGCGAUCACGCACAAAGAAAUCGGUAGAGAAGUCCUUGAACGUGUAGCUAAAGAAACAGAAGACAUUGCUGUUUUAGAAACGAAAGCUAAAAUGGAUGGACGCAGCAUGUUUAUUAUGUUAGCACCAAAAAGUGAAAAGUAAGAGGAUUUUAGGAGGAAUAUCAAAUGCCAAAACAAAAAACACACCGUGGUUCAGCAAAACGGUUCAAAAGAACAGGUAAUGGCGGACUAAAACGUCACCAU
RNAcentral lists this unclassified non-coding RNA (338 nucleotides) under Pisciglobus halotolerans. RNAcentral's name for it is "Long range pseudoknot". Lineage: Bacteria; Bacillati; Bacillota; Bacilli; Lactobacillales; Carnobacteriaceae. The record is from RNAcentral.